CGUGCAGGCGGGCGUGCAAGUCUGAUGUGAAAGCCCCGGGCUUAACCUGGGAAGUGCAUUGGAAACUGCACGUCUUGAGUUGCGGAGAGGAAGGGGGAAUUCCCGGUGUAGAGGUGAAAUUCGUAGAGAUCGGGAGGAAUACCAGUGGCGAAGGCGCCCUUCUGGACGACAACUGACGCUGAGACGCGAAAGCGUGGGGAGCAAACAGGAUUAGAUACCCUGGUAGUCCACGCUGUAAACGAUGAGCACUAGGUGUAGCGGGUAAUCAUUCCUGCUGUGCCGCAGCUAACGCGUUAAGUGCUCCGCCUGGGGAUUACGGUCGCAAGACUAAA
This 332-nucleotide ribosomal RNA is filed under the name uncultured bacterium. Its description in RNAcentral is "bacterial SSU rRNA". It matches the Rfam family "Bacterial small subunit ribosomal RNA", at positions 568 to 898 of the family's 1533-position model. The record is from RNAcentral.